Molecule: ribosomal RNA, 466 nt
Filed under: Vreelandella stevensii
Lineage: Bacteria; Pseudomonadati; Pseudomonadota; Gammaproteobacteria; Oceanospirillales; Halomonadaceae
Description: partial 16S ribosomal RNA
Rfam family: Bacterial small subunit ribosomal RNA
Source: RNAcentral
GCCUACGGGUCGCAGCAGUGGGGAAUAUUGGACAAUGGGCGAAAGCCUGAUCCAGCCAUGCCGCGUGUGUGAAGAAGGCCUUCGGGUUGUAAAGCACUUUCAGUGGGGAAGAAAGCCUUGGGGCUAAUACCCUCGAGGAAGGACAUCACCCACAGAAGAAGCACCGGCUAACUCCGUGCCAGCAGCCGCGGUAAUACGGAGGGUGCGAGCGUUAAUCGGAAUUACUGGGCGUAAAGCGCGCGUAGGCGGUCUGAUAAGCCGGUUGUGAAAGCCCCGGGCUCAACCUGGGAACGGCAUCCGGAACUGUCAGGCUAGAGUGCAGGAGAGGAAGGUAGAAUUCCCGGUGUAGCGGUGAAAUGCGUAGAGAUCGGGAGGAAUACCAGUGGCGAAGGCGGCCUUCUGGACUGACACUGACGCUGAGGUGCGAAAGCGUGGGUAGCAAACAGGAUUAGAUACCCCAGUAGUC